GGGUCAGUAGGUUGGUCGUGCCACCGGUACGUACUGGCCUCACUGAUUCCUCCUUCCUGAAGAACCGUAAUGCCAUUAAUUUGGUGUUGCGGGGAAACAGGACUGUUACUUUGAAAAAAUUAGAGUGUUUAAAGCAAGCUUACGCUUGAAUACAUUAGCAUGGAAUAAUGAAAUAGGACGAUCGAUCCUAUUUUGUUGGUUUCUAGGAUUGACGUA
This 216-nucleotide ribosomal RNA is filed under the name Glomeromycotina sp. Its description in RNAcentral is "partial small subunit ribosomal RNA". The stretch from base 40 to 216 matches the Rfam family "Eukaryotic small subunit ribosomal RNA", at positions 686 to 864 of the family's 1831-position model. The record is from RNAcentral. Lineage: Eukaryota; Fungi; Glomeromycota.